GUUAAAUUUCCAUUGAUGAUUUUUUUAUAUUGUGUAUCUUAAUAUCUUUAUACAAAAUGAGUGUUUGCUGGUACAUUGCCAUGAUUUUUAGCAUUAUAUACAGACAGGAUGUACUUUUAAAUUGAUUCAGUAAAAUUUCCCAGUAAGAUAUUACAUGUAGUGGAAAAUAGUAGUCAGAAAUUGAUUUGGUGUAUGUAUUGUAACACAUUGCAGGGGACAUAAAAAAAUGUAUAAAUGCUGUCUGUCCAGUCUUGUAGCCCUCUGCCUUUCACCUGUACAAUUCUGAUUUUGUGUUGAUCAACUGUUUUAAAGAGAGUUAUGUCUCUUAGUAAUAUUAAUUAUAUG
This 345-nucleotide long non-coding RNA is filed under the name Mytilus galloprovincialis (Mediterranean mussel). Lineage: Eukaryota; Metazoa; Mollusca; Bivalvia; Mytilida; Mytilidae. The record is from RNAcentral.